UUGCCCCCUCACGCUUCCCCUCGCCCUCUCCGCCUUCUCCUUUUCCCCAGAUCCGCGUGGGCAACCCGCACGCACCGCGCCCGUCGCCGGCCACCUCGCACCGCCAUGGCAACCGUCGACCUCGUGCCACACCGACGUUCUGCUGUCCUGCGCCGCCGUUCUGCAUUUUGCACUGAGGGACCAAGGUCGGGUACAGGCCCGGGGUGGUCGUCGGCGGGAAGGACCUGGGGCACGACUGCGGGGCGCACCGCGGGAUCGGCUACUUCAUCGAGCCGCUCCUUCUGCUCGGGCUCUUCCCCAGGUCGCCCUUGUCCAUUCGUCUCCAAGCUGCUGAAGAAGUCCGGGUGGAAGAAAGCCGGCGUUUGUGAGGUAAAAAUAAGCAAUUUUCUCUUUUGUUUUAGCUUGAUAUAGGAAGAACAGUGUCUAAUCCAUUAUAGUACUAGAUAGCCAGGCAGAUAUACAGUACUUCUCAUCUUAGCUUCAAUUAACAAAGAUUGGCAAAAUAUCUUGUUUCUUCCAAGAAAGGAGUACUAUGGAUGAGGACCAUGACUUCAUGAGUAGGAGACUAGGACUACAUUUUCCUUUUAUAAAAGAAAGGUGUACAUUAUCCUUCUUAUUUGCCACUACAUUUGUUUUUGCUUAUUUGCCACCGAUGACAAAAAUGCCUUCUACCUAGAUCAGCAAGCCAAAAUAUUUGUGAGGUGUAAAUAAGCAAUUUUCUCCUUUUAUUUUAGCUAGAUAAGAA
Triticum aestivum (bread wheat) is the source of this 745-nucleotide long non-coding RNA. RefSeq lists it as uncharacterized. The transcript is spliced from 3 exons. The record is from RefSeq and is a predicted model, not a curated record. NCBI's taxonomy places the organism in Eukaryota, Viridiplantae, Streptophyta, Magnoliopsida, Poales, Poaceae.